Paramisgurnus dabryanus is the source of this 1563-nucleotide non-coding RNA. The record is from RefSeq and is a predicted model, not a curated record. NCBI's taxonomy places the organism in Eukaryota, Metazoa, Chordata, Actinopteri, Cypriniformes, Cobitidae.
UUUUACGACCCGCAAAGUACCGCGUAAUUAAACCGAAUUUACAGCGUACCUAUUUGUAACAACAGGGUACCUCUACAGUACGUACUUGUAGGUAUAAGGGAAUAAUAUUUUAAGUUUGGGGUAAUAAGGGGUUAAGAAUAUGAAGAAUUAUAAAUUAUUUAUACUGCAAGUAUUUUAUAACUACAGGGUACCUAUUGUAAUUUUACGUGGUAUGUAUGACUUAGUCAAGUCUAUGGGGAAAUUAUGUUUUAUUAUUUUUUAUUUUAUUGUGAAUUUUUCAUAUUGACUACUGAAUGUUGUAUACAGUCGAUGUCUACGAGCCACAUCGGCAAAUAAAUAUAACAGCACAUCACUUUUAUUUUGGUAGCCUAUAUUACUUGCUUUUAAUAACAAAGGUCCAGCUGAUUUAAUGUGGUUAUCUUUUUUUUUAAGGUAAGUACAAUAAAAAUAGCAACUUAUUCCCUAUUUACCAGGAAACUCUUACAUUUGCGGACAUAUUUGAAGUGGUGCUUUGCAAUUUAUUUACUUUUAUUUCAAAUGACACAAUAAUGACCACAGAGCAGCACGCUAUUUGUUUAUUUUUAAUAGGUGUUAUCAUUGGUAGAAUAAAACUUUGCAACAUCUGUAAACACAAGUAUUUUAGCCAAAUAUAAUUGAUGCAAUGGCAAACCAGAAUGAAACAACAGCAGAUCAGCUCCCGCUAAAGCAAAAGACGACUACAUGCGUAGGCUACUGCAUCUGCAGGAGGUUUGCUGGAAUGCGAUCCUGAGGUGAAAUUUCUUUAAGAGGUUUUAAAAACUUUCUACACUGUGUGGAGUACGGCUGCGAGUGAUGUGAGCAGGUUCCGCAUGCUGGAUAAGAACAGCAUUUGUGAGACGACAUCAACUCAUCAUCCGAGUGGACAAGAACACCAACAGAGGAAGCCAAGCCGCAAAAACAAUGAAAAUUGUCAUGACUUUUUAUUUUAAAUAAAAGUAAUGUGAUAAUAAACAUUAAGUGUUGGCUUAAUUAUAGUGUUUUAAACAUGUUUUGAAAUAAGUUGUUUUAAAAUAAAAAUAACAAUAUUCUGUAUGUUUAUGGUAUUUACCCUAUAACAUUUAUAACAAGUACACAGAACAAGCGGGGAAUAAGCCCCACUUUAAUUUACAGCCCGCAAAUAUAAGAGUUACCUGGUAACUCCUUUAUACACAUACAGAUCAAAGAGGUACAAGUUGCUAUUAUUUUUAUGGUGUGUUAUAUUUUAUUUGCCAAUGUGGCUUGUAGACAUCAACUGUAGGCUAUAUAAAACACUUCAUCAGGUAAGUAGCAUAUUACACAUAGACCAUAUUACCCAGACGUAAGCCAUACAUACCACGUAAUAUUACAAUAGGUACCCUGUAGUUAUGAAAUACUUAGAGAAUAAUUUUCCAUAUAUUCUUACCCCCUUAUUACCCCAAACUUAAAAUAUUGUUCCCUUAUAACUACAAGUACGUACUGUAGAGGUACUCUGUUGUUACAAAUAGGUACGCUGUAAAUUCGGUUUAAUUACGGGGUACUUUGCGGGUCGUAAAAUAAAGUGUUACC